Molecule: ribosomal RNA, 204 nt
Filed under: Triticum aestivum (bread wheat)
Lineage: Eukaryota; Viridiplantae; Streptophyta; Magnoliopsida; Poales; Poaceae
Description: partial small subunit ribosomal RNA
Source: RNAcentral
AUGGAUUUCUUGGUUAGUAAUGGGCACAUUACCCAUGCAAUUGGUAGUGCAUAUUCAACUGUUGUGAAUGGUAACGAAGAAACCGGCGGGAAAGAAGAGUGUGGAGCAAUGAAGCAUAACAACACUUGUUGUGUGGUGAUGGCAGAUGUAUUGAAGAAGAUGGAAGAGCUGAUAUUUCUCUGUAGGAUUUUUUCAUUGCACUAG